This 895-nucleotide long non-coding RNA is filed under the name Sorghum bicolor (sorghum). Its description in RNAcentral is "long non-coding RNA (SBIC_LNC018143)". The record is from RNAcentral. Lineage: Eukaryota; Viridiplantae; Streptophyta; Magnoliopsida; Poales; Poaceae.
UAACACCCUAAAAUUUGUCUUUUCGAAAUAAAGCUAAAUUAAUUCAAUUUUUGUAUGGUUGUGCUCAUGGAACAUAGGAAAAAAAUAAUAUUUUUCAUUUAAUUAAAAUUUAACAUAGGAUAUAGCAACACUUUUGUGCACUCAUGCUCCUGCAUUUCAUUUAUGUGCUGAGUGGUUUUACUAAAGUUCAAAAGUAUUUCAAAGUGAUUUUAAAAUGGAUUGAAAAUGACUUUGGAAUGAAAGAAAAGAAAAUAGAAAAAAAAAGACAAAACCCCUUCACCCUCUAGUCUGGCCCGAAGGCCCACUCCACCUUCCACCCUCGGCCCGAUACGCAGCAGGCCAGCCCAAGCCGCGCCUCCCCCUUCCCUUCUUUCCACUGCCAGCUGGGCCCCACCCGUCAGUCACCUCCCUCUUCUUCUUCCUUGGGCGUGAGCGAGCCGGACUCCUGUCCAGGCCAAAUCAGCGCCCCAAUCCCGUUUUCUCUGGGAUUUUUCCUACCUAACGCGCUCUACCGAAUCAUAUAGAAGCUUUUAACCACCCAGCGUCCUUUUCUCAUCUAUCCAUCACCGAAAGCCGCCUCUGGAGCCGAUUUUGGAUCUCGCCGAAAAGCACAGGAGCAAGCCGCCGCCGUGGAGCGCCCUAACCGCGUCGUGCCGUCGAAAUUCGAGCCCUUGCCGAGUACUGCAUCGAGAUGAAGACGCUACCGAGCCCCUCUCUAUCCUUUCUCUCGGUCUCUGUGACUCACACCGCCUCGCCGAUGUUGCAGGAAGUCCGCCGCCCGCAGUUGCACGUGGCCGACCAUCUCCUAGCCCUUCCCGUCUUCGAUUGGUGCUCCGGGUGAGUUCGCGGUACUCUCCUCUUGCUUCCCGUGCAAUCGGUUUUUCAAAUCGUGCCC